This 199-nucleotide transfer-messenger RNA is filed under the name Gammaproteobacteria bacterium. RNAcentral's name for it is "partial transfer-messenger RNA". It matches the Rfam family "transfer-messenger RNA", at positions 1 to 209 of the family's 374-position model. From Rfam's summary of the family: Bacterial tmRNA, also known as 10Sa RNA or SsrA, is named for its dual tRNA and mRNA-like properties. Its role is to liberate the mRNA from a stalled ribosome. The record is from RNAcentral. RNAcentral also lists the same sequence under 1 other name. Lineage: Bacteria; Pseudomonadati; Pseudomonadota; Gammaproteobacteria.
GGGGGUGACAUGGCUUCGACGUGGGUCGCGAAACUCCGGGUGCAUGCCGAGGAACAGACAACCUCGUAAAUCCAGCUGUAAAACUUAUAGUUGCCAACGACGACAACUACGCACUAGCUGCUUAAAAACCAGUAAAUGCCUUCUGCCCGGAUCGUGCCUGUGCGUCCGGAUCGCAGGAGUCACCGACACAGGACCGCGG